GACGAACGCUGGCGGCGUGCUUAACACAUGCAAGUCGAACGGAAAGGCCCUGCUUUUUUGGGGUGCUCGAGUGGCGAACGGGUGAGUAACACGUGAGUAACCUGCCCUUGACUUUGGGAUAACUUCAGGAAACUGGGGCUAAUACCGGAUAGGAGCUCCUGCUCCAUGGUGGGGGUGGGAACGUUUCGGCGGUUGGGGAUGGACUCGCGGCUUAACGGCUUGUUGGUUGGGUAGUGGCUUACCAAGGCUUUGACGGGUAGCCGGCAUGGGAGGGGGACCGGCCACAUGGGGCCUGAGAGAGGGACCAGAGUGCAACGGGAGGCAGCAGGGGGGAAUAUGGCACAACGGGAGCAAGUGUGAGGCAGAGACGCCGGGGGUGUGAAGACGGCCUUCGGGGUGAAAAACGCUGCCGGCUGUGACGAAGCGGGAGUGACGGUAACGGGUAAAGAAGCACCGGCUAACUACGUG
RNAcentral lists this ribosomal RNA (468 nucleotides) under uncultured bacterium. RNAcentral describes it as "partial 16S ribosomal RNA". It matches the Rfam family "Bacterial small subunit ribosomal RNA", at positions 28 to 507 of the family's 1533-position model. The record is from RNAcentral.